This 552-nucleotide ribosomal RNA is filed under the name uncultured archaeon. RNAcentral describes it as "bacterial SSU rRNA". It matches the Rfam family "Archaeal small subunit ribosomal RNA", at positions 325 to 879 of the family's 1478-position model. The record is from RNAcentral.
ACGGGGUGCAGCAGGCGCGAAAACUCCACAAUGUACGACAGUACGAUGGGGUUAUCUCGAGUGCAGUCCGAUAAGGGCUGCUUUUCCAUAGAGUAAUAUCCUGUGGGAAUAAGAGGGGGGCAAGACUGGUGUCAGCCGCCGCGGUAACACCAGCCCCUCGAGUGGUGGGGACUAUUAUUUGGCCUAAAGCGUCCGUAGCUGGCUGUAUCCGUCCCCCGUUAAAUCCAGCGUCCUAAGCGUUGGACUGCGGGUGAUACCAUACAGCUAGAGGGUGGGAUAGGUGAGCGGUAUUUCUGGGGCAGGGGCGAAAUCCUUUGAUCCCAGGAGGACCACCAGUGGCGAAGGCUGCUCACUAGAACACGCCUGACGGUCAGGGACGAAAGCUGGGGCAGCGAACCGGAUUAGAUACCCGGGUAGUCCCAGCUGUAAACGAUGCCAGCUAGGUGUUGGGUCGGCCACGCGCCGCCCCAGUGCCGCAGGGAAGCCGUUAAGCUGGCCGCCUGGGGAGUACGGCCGCAAGGCUGAAACUUAAAGGAAUUGGCGGGGGAGCAC